GAUCAAACCUGCAUCUUGCCUUCUCUCACCGGGGAGGGGGUGGGGUGUGGGGGUUGUGGGUGUCGGGGAGGCCGGCGGGCUGAACUUCUUAGAGGGACUGUCGGUAUCCAGCCGACGGAAGUACGAGGCAAUAACAGGUCUGUGAUGCCCUUAGAUGUCCUGGGCCGCACGCGCGCUACACUGACAGGUCCAGCGAGUCCCGCGAGCCCUCGGCCGGAAGGUCCGGGUAAUCUUGGGGAAACCCCUGUCGUGAUGGGGAUAGAUCAUUGCAAUUCUCGAUCUUCAACGAGGAAUUCCUAGUAAGCGCGAGUCAUCAGCUCGCGUUGAUUACGUCCCUGCCCUUUGUACACACCGCCCGUCGCUCCUACCGAUUGGGUGAUCCGGUGAAAUGUUCGGAGGUGGGCCGUCGGGGACGGGGGUUCGUUCGUUCCUGGUCUGCAAGUCCAUUGAACCAUAUCAUUUAGAGGAAGGAG
This 473-nucleotide ribosomal RNA is filed under the name uncultured eukaryote. Its description in RNAcentral is "bacterial SSU rRNA". It matches the Rfam family "Eukaryotic small subunit ribosomal RNA", at positions 1365 to 1785 of the family's 1831-position model. The record is from RNAcentral.